RNAcentral lists this transfer RNA (73 nucleotides) under Nanobdellota archaeon. Its description in RNAcentral is "tRNA-Ala". It matches the Rfam family "tRNA". Rfam says of the family: Transfer RNA (tRNA) molecules are approximately 80 nucleotides in length. The record is from RNAcentral. Lineage: Archaea; Nanobdellati; Nanobdellota.
GGGCCUUUGGUGAAAUCCGGCAUCACGUUGCCAUGGCAUGGCAGAAUUCCGAGUUCAAAUCUCGGUAGGUCCA